CCUACGGGAGGCAGCAGUGGGGAAUUUUGGACAAUGGGGGAAACCCUGAUCCAGCCAUCCCGCGUGAGUGAAGAAGGCCUUCGGGUUGUAAAGCUCUUUCGAAAGUGAAGAAAACUUAUUUCGUAAUAUGUUAUAAGUAUGACGGUAACUUUAGAAGAAGCACCGGCUAACUACGUGCCAGCAGCCGCGGUAAUA
RNAcentral lists this ribosomal RNA (195 nucleotides) under uncultured beta proteobacterium. Its description in RNAcentral is "partial 16S ribosomal RNA". It matches the Rfam family "Bacterial small subunit ribosomal RNA", at positions 338 to 525 of the family's 1533-position model. The record is from RNAcentral. Lineage: Bacteria; Pseudomonadati; Pseudomonadota; Betaproteobacteria.